GCGAAAUGCAAGAGCUCUCAGCAAGGAGUUGUUGAAACCAAACUUAUGGUUUGAGCUAUGUUAGGAGCAGGAAGGAGCUCUGCUGAGUCAGUGAACAGUCUUAAUGGAAAGGAAGAAGGUGAAGGAAGAAGGCUUGUCUUCCUUGCUUUGUAAACCCCCCCCCCCCACAUUCCUACCCCUUCUUCAAACCAAAACAAAUCCAUCAGGAGGCCUGAAUCAUUUGGAAAGAAACCUCUCUGAAAAGUGCAACUGAGCACAGAACAAGCCCCUCUUAUCUGCUCAUCAUUGGCAAACUCUUGACUUCCUACAAGAACAUAGUAGAAGCAUAGCAUGGACAGGUGCUUGUUGUUUCCAUAGAGGAAAUUGGCCUCUGCUUGAAUCAAGCAUUAGCAGAGCUGUCAUGAAGAGCUGAACCAGCACCAAAAUGGCCUAGGAAGAGUAAGAUACUCCCCACUGAAUCAUAUGUGUCUUUGAUUAAGCCUGAGUUCCUGGCACAACAAAAGAAGUACUAAAAGCAAGUGAAGUUGGUCCCUUUGUCAAUUUCAAAACCAAACAUUUUCCUGCCUUGGGGAUUUUGCAGAGCACAGAACCUUAUAAUAAGGUCCUUUCUUCCACAGAUAUGUAUGGUUUUUUGAUCCUGUACUAGAGGUUCAUUCUGGAGGUUCUUGGGAAGUAUAAUAACUGCUACUGCAAUGGGAGUUUGGUGAUGCAAGCUGCCAAAUACUGCUCCAGAAACCCACCUAGCCAAGUAUCCAGCUUUGUGCUUACCACCUUUCGCCGCUAAGCUGAAUCACUGGCUGCAGAGCCUCUAAGUUGGAGCACUGGACUGCAGAAUAGUUAUUGAGCUGAAAUCACCAGCCCUGAGCACUCCUUACGUGGAAUUGUUGUGAGGACUACACUGGACUGCCAUGAACACUUUCCCCCCACCCCAAUACUUAUCUUUGAUAUUUACAUAAACAUACAAAAGAAACCAAUUUUUUUUAAAAAAAAAAACACCAGGUAAAACUCAGCUCAGGAACACUUCUUUUAUUAUUACUUCACUUCAUCCAUUUAGAAUCUUUAAAAAUACAUUUAUAAAAUAAAAACCAUUUCCAGUCUCCGAGGUCUUGUAUACACAGUAAGCUAGAUUCCUUGGAUCACGUUCUGUGUGGGCUUGUCACAGGACUAUCCCUGUGCCUGACUACCUGAGAGUUCUUAGACUCCCAAGCAGAAACCUAAAGAGAAACCUCUGAGGCUGGGUCAUUCCCUAGGUGGGCUUGAUGUUGGCUACUCCCUGCACCCGACCAUCUGGAAAUCCCAGCACUCCCCUUUGCUGGUUAUGGGCAUCUGCACUGUCAUGCAGGCACCCUGCUGCCUCUCCUCGCCCUCCUUUGGCAGAACCUUUGCAAGGGAACUCAAAUCUUCUCCAGGCACUUCUCUCUCAGCCUAACCUACUUCACAGGGUUGUUGUGAAAGAGAAACUCAAGUAUGUAGUACACCGCUCUGGGCUCCUUGGAGGAAGAGCGGGAUAUAAAUGUAAUAAAUAAAUAAAUAAAUAAAUAAAAUUUUGGCACUGCACACACAACAGCAAAUAUGGACAGGUAACAAAAUGCUCUUUCCCCUCCCCCCUCACUCACCCCCCCUCCUUUUUCUACCCACAUUCCAAUGCCUGCCAAUCACCAAACUUUUAGAGCCUUCACUUCCUCUCCCUCCUUAUCUAGUCCCCAGAAGCUACCUUCACUCCUUGUGUAACCGCAAUAGUAUCAUAGUUGCAAAAUAUCACUGUUCACAUUGUGCUUCUGGUUUAUCAAUAAACUUUAUUCCUUAA
Molecule: long non-coding RNA, 1807 nt
Organism: Hemicordylus capensis (graceful crag lizard)
Lineage: Eukaryota; Metazoa; Chordata; Lepidosauria; Squamata; Cordylidae
Exons: 3
Source: RefSeq, a predicted model, not a curated record